Molecule: ribosomal RNA, 492 nt
Filed under: uncultured bacterium
Lineage: Bacteria
Description: partial 16S ribosomal RNA
Rfam family: Bacterial small subunit ribosomal RNA
Source: RNAcentral
AGUGAACGCUGGCGGUAGGCCUAACACAUGCAAGUCGAACGGCAGCACAGUAAGAGCUUGCUCUUACGGGUGGCGAGUGGCGGACGGGUGAGGAAUACAUCGGAAUCUACUUUUUCGUGGGGGAUAACGUAGGGAAACUUACGCUAAUACCGCAUACGACCUACGGGUGAAAGCAGGGGAUCUUCGGACCUUGCGCGAUUGGAUGAGCCGAUGUCGGAUUAGCUAGUUGGCGGGGUAAAGGCCCACCAAGGCGACGAUCCGUAGCUGGUCUGAGAGGAUGAUCAGCCACACUGGAACUGAGGCACGGUCCAGACUCCUACGGGAGGCAGCAGUGGGGAAUAUUGGACAAUGGGCGCAAGCCUGAUCCAGCCAUACCGCGUGGGUGAAGAAGGCCUUCGGGUUGUAAAGCCCUUUUGUUGGGAAAGAAAAGCAGCAGGUUAAUACCCCGCUGUUCUGACGGUACCCAAAGAAUAAGCACCGGCUAACUUCGUG